This is a small nucleolar RNA of Cebus imitator (Panamanian white-faced capuchin), 213 nucleotides long. Its record names the gene U3. It matches the Rfam family "Small nucleolar RNA U3". From Rfam's summary of the family: Small nucleolar RNAs (snoRNAs) are involved in the processing and modification of rRNA in the nucleolus. There are two main classes of snoRNAs: the box C/D class, and the box H/ACA class. The record is from Ensembl. Lineage: Eukaryota; Metazoa; Chordata; Mammalia; Primates; Cebidae.
AAGACUAUACUUCUAGGGAUCAUUUCUAUAGUUUGUUACUAGAGAAGUUUCUCUGAACGUGUAGAGCACCAGAAACCACUAAAAGAUGCAGCAUUCUCUCCUGAACGGGAAGCCAGCUUUUGGCGUUGCUUUGCCACAACUGCCAUUUGCUGUUGAUGAUAAUUCCUCACUUCCUCUGGGAGUAUAAGAGGGGGAGGAUGCAUUUAGAGUGGU